Molecule: ribosomal RNA, 253 nt
Filed under: uncultured bacterium
Lineage: Bacteria
Description: partial 16S ribosomal RNA
Rfam family: Bacterial small subunit ribosomal RNA
Source: RNAcentral
UACGUAGGGUGCAAGCGUUAAUCGGAAUUACUGGGCGUAAAGCGUGCGCAGGCGGUUAUGUAAGUCAGUUGUGAAAUCCCCGGGCUCAACCUGGGAACUGCAUCUGUGACUGCAUAGCUAGAGUACGGUAGAGGGGGAUGGAAUUCCGCGUGUAGCAGUGAAAUGCGUAGAUAUGCGGAGGAACACCGAUGGCGAAGGCAAUCCCCUGGGCUGACACUGACGCUCAGGCACGAAAGCGUGGGGAGCAAACAGG